This 484-nucleotide ribosomal RNA is filed under the name uncultured bacterium. RNAcentral's name for it is "partial 16S ribosomal RNA". It matches the Rfam family "Bacterial small subunit ribosomal RNA", at positions 29 to 507 of the family's 1533-position model. The record is from RNAcentral.
AUUGAACGCUGGCGGCAUGCUUUACACAUGCAAGUCGAACGGCAGCGCGGGCUUCGGCCUGGCGGCGAGUGGCGAACGGGAGAGUAAUACAUCGGAACGUGCCCAGUAGUGGGGGAUAGCUCGGCGAAAGCCGGAUUAAUACCGCAUACGACCUGAGGGUGAAAGCGGGGGAUCUUCGGACCUCGCGCUAUUGGAGCGGCCGAUGGCAGAUUAGCUAGUUGGUGGGGUAAAGGCCUACCAAGGCGACGAUCUGUAGCUGGUCUGAGAGGACGACCAGCCACACUGGGACUGAGACACGGCCCAGACUCCUACGGGAGGCAGCAGUGGGGAAUUUUGGACAAUGGGCGAAAGCCUGAUCCAGCAAUGCCGCGUGUGUGAUGAAGGCCUUCGGGUUGUAAAGCACUUUUGGCGGGAACGAAAAGGACUGUGCCAAUACCACGGUUCGAUGACGGUACCCGCAGAAUAAGCACCGGCUAACUACGUG